This 629-nucleotide long non-coding RNA is filed under the name Nicotiana tabacum (common tobacco). Its description in RNAcentral is "long non-coding RNA (NTAB_LNC008432)". The record is from RNAcentral. Lineage: Eukaryota; Viridiplantae; Streptophyta; Magnoliopsida; Solanales; Solanaceae.
UUUGGUCUUGACUCUUUCAAUCAAGCUCCUCGCGUUGGUAAGUUUUUUCAUGCAAUCUCUCUCUUUGUUUCUUCACUCUUUCAAUGUUGGUCCAUCUUUGUUCUAUUUAUCAUCUGGUUGGACCUCUCUGCUUUGGUAAUCUUUCUUUAUUUUUUGUACGAUUUGGUGGAUAAUAUGAUAGUUUCUAUUCUUUUGAAGGAAAUUUAUAACAAGAAAUUGCUCAUGCAUGUCACUAAUUGUACCAAAUUUCAUUUACCUUAUUAUAUUCUUAUUAAGGAAUCUAGUAAUUUGACCCAGGGUUUGAACUUGGGGUUUUGAGCAUUCGAUCAAAUUUUUACUUCAGAGUUGGACUAAUCAGUUGAAAUGCCAUAUUAGUAUUGAGCACGUUGAUAAAGGUCCAAUUCAUGACGGAAUGGUUACUUUCUCUUUCGAAGAAUCAACAUGUUUUAUUUUGACCUUCUAAAGGUGAGAUUUUGGGAGCAGUAGUUAUCAUGGUCAACAAGGUAAAAACUAUAACUUUUCUCUAUUGUUCCUCAUCAAUCCUUCCUCUCCAUUCAAACUCUCUUUUUUUUACUCUUUUUCCAGUUAUCUGUGUUUUUGCCCUAUUAUUAUUUUAUACGCAAAUUCUG